AUUCAGCUGACGAGUCUCAAAUAGGACAAAGCGCGUGUCCUGGAU
Non-coding RNA from Schistosoma mattheei, 45 nucleotides. The record is from Rfam. NCBI's taxonomy places the organism in Eukaryota, Metazoa, Platyhelminthes, Trematoda, Strigeidida, Schistosomatidae.